This 494-nucleotide ribosomal RNA is filed under the name uncultured bacterium. RNAcentral describes it as "partial 16S ribosomal RNA". It matches the Rfam family "Bacterial small subunit ribosomal RNA", at positions 28 to 507 of the family's 1533-position model. The record is from RNAcentral.
GACGAACGCUGGCGGCGUGCUUAACACAUGCAAGUCGAACGGAAAGGCCUGCUUUCCCUUGUGGAUUGCGGGUACUCGAGUGGCGAACGGGUGAGUAACACGUGAGUGAUCUGCCCCCAACUUGGGUAUAAGCCUGGGAAACUGGGUCUAAUUCCCGAUAGGACUGCAGGGUGGUGCCUGUGGUGGAAAACGAUUUUCUAGUGGUUGGGGAUGAGCUCGCGGCCUAUCAGCUUGUUGGUGGGGUAAUGGCCUACCAAGGCGGCGACGGGUAGCCGGCCUGGGAGGGUGGACGGCCACAUUGGGACUGAGACACGGCCCAGACGCCUACGGGAGGCAGCAGUGGGGAAUAUUGCACAAUGGGCGGAAGCCUGAUGCAGCGACGCCGAGUGGGGGAUGACGGCCUUCGGGUUGUAAACUCCUUUCGACCGCGAGGAAGCCACCUGGUUGGAAGGGUGGUGACGGUAGUGGUAGAAGAAGCACCGGCUAACUACGUG